CCUACGGGAGGCAGCAGUGAGGAAUAUUGGUCAAUGGGCGCAAGCCUGAACCAGCCAUGCCGCGUGCAGGAAGAAUGCCCUAUGGGUUGUAAACUGCUUUUAUUUGGGAAUAAACCUCUUUACGUGUAGAGAGCUGAAGGUACCAAAUGAAUAAGCACCGGCUAACUCCGUGCCAGCAGCCGCGGUAAU
RNAcentral lists this ribosomal RNA (189 nucleotides) under uncultured bacterium. RNAcentral describes it as "partial 16S ribosomal RNA". It matches the Rfam family "Bacterial small subunit ribosomal RNA", at positions 338 to 524 of the family's 1533-position model. The record is from RNAcentral.